UUAUUAGGGUCAUUUGUAUGUGCCUGUAACUCUUCACAAAAUGACACGAACAAUUAAUUUAUCACUAGGACUCAUUGAACUUUACGGAGGUUCCUUGUAUUAAAAGGAAGCCAGAAUCACAUGUCCCUUUAUAGCAAGAGGUAAUAUGAUCUUUUUUGGGUACCUCCUUGCAUGUGCUGAUGUAUUGUGGACCACAAUAAGCUUCCAUCUUAAAAUUCACCCUUAUCCCAAGUAAUGUUUAAGACCUUUGGAAAGAAGGGAAUGCAAGCAGAUCAACCAACUGUUAAUUCCUUCACAUUAUUACCUACAUACUAGCAUCACCUUGUUGUUGCUUUCAUCUCCCCUUUCAUCUCAAGAUUAGGCUCAUGUGUGGCAAAAUAAAAUGAAGUUAUGGAAAUGCAUUGAAUGUUAGGUGGAGGUUUUGGUUAUUUAGCUAAGCCAUAGAUGUUCACUAAAUGAAUUGGAACCAUGUAAAAGCUCUGGUAUUUAUGACUGGCUACAACCAUGGGGAAACAUAUGUGGAGUUGCUUUACAACAGUUCCAAAUGAGUGCCUGGAUCUUGCCCUCCAUGAACACCUUUGAUCUUGCUAUCCUUGAAGCUUUUGCUCCCACAGAGUAUUUCUGCUUGUGAAAUGGGAACGAGACAAUGUUCACUGACAUCUUACUAGGCAGCUUGCUAUGCUUCCAAGGACCACCCUCUGAAGCAUUGUAGAGGCAAUGCUGGAGGGCUGUAAAGGAAAUAGGGAAUGGACAAAAGUAAAUUCCUCUGUUUAGAUGCCAAGCAUCACCCACUAUUGCUGAAGAAUAAAUACAUCCAAAUAUGCAUAGGUUUAAAAGUCUUUUUUUAAUUAAAAGUUUACAAUAAUUUAUGUAUUUUACAAAUGAAUAGAAAGUCUUUGAUAUAUAGCAUAUGAACCACAAUACAAAAAUAUGUGUAAAAUUUUGUACAUGUGAGCCUAUUUUAGGCUCAUCAAUUAUUUCUUUAGCACUGAAUCAAACAUUUAAGUAUUUUAGAUAUGAUUAUUAUGAGAUUACAUUAGAAAACACAAAGAGAAGAUGGCAUAUUCACCAUAAAAGAAAUUCUACUAAAGUGUAUGUCAGCUGGUCCAUACAUGACUGGAGCUUAUCAGAUGUACAUGAGGAAGAUGUGGGAAUAAAUCUAUCAUUUGAGAAUCUAAUGUGA
This 1183-nucleotide long non-coding RNA is filed under the name Pogona vitticeps (central bearded dragon). Its description in RNAcentral is "lncRNA (ENSPVIG00000012622.1)". The record is from RNAcentral. Lineage: Eukaryota; Metazoa; Chordata; Lepidosauria; Squamata; Agamidae.